UACGGGGGGAGCAAGCGUUGUUCGGAUUUACUGGGCGUAAAGCGCGUGUAGGCGGUCCGGUAAGUCCGCUGUGAAAGUCGGGGGGCUCAACCCUCGGAUGCCGGUGGAUACUGUCGGGCUUGAGUACGGAAGAGGCGAGUGGAAUUCCUGGUGUAGCGGUGAAGUGCGUAGAGAUGUGGAGGAACACCAGUGGCGAAGGCGACUCUUUGGUCGUGUAACUGACGCUGAGGCGCGAAAAGCGUGGGGAGCAAACAGG
This 256-nucleotide ribosomal RNA is filed under the name uncultured bacterium. RNAcentral's name for it is "partial 16S ribosomal RNA". It matches the Rfam family "Bacterial small subunit ribosomal RNA", at positions 524 to 776 of the family's 1533-position model. The record is from RNAcentral.